Peromyscus maniculatus bairdii (prairie deer mouse) is the source of this 1647-nucleotide non-coding RNA. NCBI's taxonomy places the organism in Eukaryota, Metazoa, Chordata, Mammalia, Rodentia, Cricetidae. The record is from RefSeq and is a predicted model, not a curated record.
GAUGAACGGCCAGACGUGUGGACACCUGUGGGAUGGCACUGGCUAGGAGGCGGCCGGACGCUGAGAUAGCGGCACUGAGACCGGUUCCAAGUGACAGGAGCCGGAGAAGGAGAGGGACUCAACGAUUGAAGACCAGGCCUGAACACACUGAAGACACGCUUGCUCCUCCUGUCACCAGCCCACGCCUCCCAGGCUCGCAGAGCCUUCGUCACAGGCUUCGUAGGUCAGCGCCUGCUCUCUGUUGGCUUCUUUCUUUCCUCGUUACCUCUUCCAGGAUGGACCAUACCUACGUAAAUAUCACCCCAGUGUUCCUCCACUCUUUCCUCCAGUCUGCUCUCGGUCUUCUCAGCCCCGUUCCCCUCCAAGCCCACCCCUGGGAAGCCUGCCCGGGACUAGACCGCCCCUGCCUGUCGGUGUUCCCCCGCAAGUCCCUGCCUCUGAACAUCCCCACAUCCGUUCACUACCCCAGAUCUAGGACUGAGAGUUUCGUAGGGGGGUGGGGAGAACUGACCUUGUAGGCCUCUUUACCCUCAGAGGCAAUGACUCAAAAACCCGAGCAAGACAAAGACCCCAAUGUGUUUUUGUUGUUGUUUGGUUGGGUAACGUGCAGAGAAGGGGAAGGCUACCCACGCACGGUCUCUAUCGAGGUCUUCCAACGGAACUUCCCUAUCCUUGGUGGAAACAUUGGCAGGUGAUGUCCCUCGCUGUACAGAGGGACUGCCAUGACUACAGGAGCAGAAAAAUGCCACAGUCUACACCUGACAGAACCCACGCCCACCCCAGCUCCAUAGCUGACUUCCUCUCCAUCCUGACUUUUGCAGGAGGCGCUCUGGACUUGAGUCAGGAUAUGGCUUCUAUCAUUUAUUUUGUUCUUAGUUUUGUUGAUUGUUUUAGCAAGUGUUGCAAACCCACAGUAUCAACAGUUAGUGUAGGAAACAUAAGCCUGGCAUGCCAAUAUUGUGACUAUUUAACUUUCUGAAGUCUAUGGAUUCCAAAAGAUGAGGAUUUCAAGAUGAAGGCAGCCUUGGCCAUGUGAGAAGAUCUCUCUCUCUCUCUCUCUCUCUCUCUCUCUCUCUCUCUCUCUCUCUCUGACAGAUACACAGAGUGGGGAGGUGGGGGAGAAACACAGAGUGGACUUCAAUAUUGGCAACAGUUCUCUCUGUGAUAAGAUGAUAGAAUCUCUGUUUGCCUUCUUGAUUAAUUAAUUCCUCCCUUCCCUUUCUUUUAACAAGGUAUCAAGUAGCCCAGGCUGGCCUGGAACUUACUAUGUAGCUAAGGAUAACCUUGAAUUCCUGAUCCUCCUUCCUGUCAGAAUUACAAACAUGCAUUUACCACACCUGGCUCUGAUUCUUUUUUUCCUAUUAAACUUUUGAUCGUCUCUAUUUUCCUCACAGUGAAUGUGUAGAACGUCUUAAGGACUGGGGUAAAAUGAGAGCCAUCUGUGACCCUUGAUCUCCAGAGCUGUUAUCAGUAUUGGACCCCCCAUCUUUGUUACCCAGGUAUUUGUGCAUAGGUAUAAUUGUGAUGUACUUACAAUGCUCUAUUCUGCUUUUUAAAAACCCACAUCGUAUGUUAAUAGUCCUCAGAAGCGUAAUUUUAGUGGUUGUAUAGUAAUCCAUUAAAGAGGCACACUAUAACUUAACCUAG